GAAAGCUUCUAUAGUAGAACUCAUUCGAGAGGGCUUGGUGGUCUUAAGAAUGGUUCGGGUGGGGGGUUUCUCUUAAGAAUAAAGAAGACGAAAAGAAUCUAAUUCAUGUUUAUGUUGACAGAAGAGCGGAUCCAAUACCAAGACGACUUCUUUCUCAGGAAGUGCAGCAAGUACUUGAGGAAUUUUGGGAUUUCAUGCCCCACGAGUGAGUUGCCAAGUGCCCCCUAGGAGUGCAGUCUACCACAAGAUCGAGUUGGAG
Molecule: long non-coding RNA, 259 nt
Filed under: Panax ginseng (ginseng)
Lineage: Eukaryota; Viridiplantae; Streptophyta; Magnoliopsida; Apiales; Araliaceae
Description: long non-coding RNA (PGIN_LNC014723)
Source: RNAcentral